Long non-coding RNA from Acanthopagrus latus (yellowfin seabream), 824 nucleotides. RefSeq lists it as uncharacterized. Lineage: Eukaryota; Metazoa; Chordata; Actinopteri; Spariformes; Sparidae. The transcript has 6 exons. The record is from RefSeq and is a predicted model, not a curated record.
ACCCUGCUCUCCAUGCUAACCCUGAGCCUGCUGCUAUCAGCUCGAUGUGGCACAUGGCUCCAGUUUGAUUAUAUUCUCUAAGACUUCUGGUUGUCUUGUUUUGUUCUCUUGGAGUUCUCAUCUGAUCUCGUGAACACCGCCCCGCCAUCCUCCAGCCGUCCAGCCCUCCACAUGUGCAGCCAGCCGCCUUACCCUGUGCACACCCUCAACUCUCUACGCACCGCGUUCCAACCAGCACCACCAUGAGCUGCUGCACCUGCACCUCCGCCUGCACCUGCACCUCCAGCUGCACACAACCAGUUUCAGCAAGCCAGUUACAUCCUUGGCAAUAACUGCAGAUGGAUGCGAGCAGGAUCUGAGGUCCAGAUGCAGCGACUCGCUCUGCUGCUGAUUGAUGGCCUGGAGAAAAAGAAGAGAAAGUCUUAGAAUACGUCUUGGGAUCUCCUGAUUUAAUUUAACUGAUGGUUGAAUAAAGUGCUGUCCAUUAAAGCGGAUCAGAACAAAUCCGAGGAUUGGAGGACGAUUCCUCGGUCUGUGAUGAGUUUCUCCUUCUGCCAAAGAGUGACAGACGCUUCACGCCACAGAGCUGAGAGAACGAGGACUGUCUUUACACUACCAUGUGCACGAUAUCUGGAUUAACUGCAACCGUCAGAUGAAAAAUCAGCAGCUGUCCCACUGCUCCAGAACACAGUCCAGGAUUGUAUCCAGACACAGCAGAAGACUCCAAACAGUAGACACAACUACCUUCAGCUACUGAAGAUGUAUAAAGCAUCUGUACAGACUUAUCUAAGUCAGGGGACAGAAAAAGAUGACUAAUCACAAAC